This 253-nucleotide ribosomal RNA is filed under the name uncultured bacterium. RNAcentral describes it as "partial 16S ribosomal RNA". It matches the Rfam family "Bacterial small subunit ribosomal RNA", at positions 524 to 776 of the family's 1533-position model. The record is from RNAcentral.
UACGGAGGGUGCAAGCGUUAUCCGGAUUCACUGGGUUUAAAGGGAGCGUAGGUGGGUCGGUAAGUCAGUGGUGAAAUCUUCGAGCUUAACUCGGAAACUGCCAUUGAUACUAUCGAUCUUGAAUUAUCUGGAGGUAAGCGGAAUAUGUCAUGUAGCGGUGAAAUGCUUAGAUAUGACAUAGAACACCCAUUGCGAAGGCAGCUUACUACGGAUAUAUUGACACUGAGGCUCGAAAGCGUGGGGAUCAAACAGG